GCACCUCGCCGGGGCCCUGCCCUGUCCCGCCGCGUCGCGGCUUCUCCGCACCCCACGUCUCGGGAGCCGACCGGGAGACUCUCACGGCAGAGUUCCACAGACCUCGUUAGGUUAAAGGAACCUCGCCUUGCCCCCCACUAAUCGGCUAGAGAGGGAGGCCGGCGAAACAAAAGCCGUAGAGGAAAAUUAAGCGACUUCCCCCUCGGCGGGGAACUUGGAGGUCGGGGAAGGUGUGAUUAUGAAAAUAAACAAGGGAAGUGAGGGAAAUAUAACCAAGUGGAUAAAGGAAAUGGAGUGCAAAUUGAGAACAUAAUCCAGAAUUUGUGAAAGUGGUAUGGAUAAAGAAGGUCAAAAUGGUCUCUGAUGAAAAGAAACUUUUAAAAUGCUUGGAAAAGUUAAUGAAUUAGAUUUCCCUGAACUUGAAGAUAUUAGGAUUGGGAGAUCAAGACUCCCAUCAGCCAAAUCAAGAAUAUUCACAAUUGACAGGAAAACUCAAAGUUUCUUUUUCCCCACCAGAGAAAUGUCUCCCACCGCCAUAGCUAAACAGUGCAGAUUUUGAAGACGAAAACUCUAGAGCAGAAAAGAGGAGGGAGCCUGCAGCAGAGACGGGGGUCUUGUGUGGGGAAUGAUCACUUCAGCCACUGUGAAGUCAGGUGGGCUGAGCGAUGUGCAGCCAGGCACAGGAUGUACGCAUGAGAAACAUCUUCCCUAAGUUCACUUGUCCUCUUGGGCCAAGGAUGCUGAUGUUCCACAUGUCUAUGGAGCUUGCCUUUUACCCUCAGAGCCAGAGACCAUUUUUAAGGAUGACGCAUAUUUGGCUAUAUAGGUCAAGAAUUCAGCACUAUAGGAAUCCCAGCUACUCUGGAGGCCGAGGCAGGAGAAUCGCUUGAACCCGGGAGGUGGAGGUUGCAAUGAGCUGAGAUCGCACCACUGCACUGCAGCGUGAGAGACACAGCAAGACUCCAUCUCAAAAAAUAAAUAGAUAAAUUAAACUAAGCUACCAACUUUUGGAAAGGA
Molecule: long non-coding RNA, 1017 nt
Organism: Gorilla gorilla gorilla (western lowland gorilla)
Lineage: Eukaryota; Metazoa; Chordata; Mammalia; Primates; Hominidae
Exons: 6
Source: RefSeq, a predicted model, not a curated record